GUCUAAAUUUAUUCAAUUGUGACUACUUUUAUACCAUUGACAACAGCGGCCAGGAACAACAGAAUGAGGUAAACUAGCACGCACGGUGCACAACAGGCCGGAUCAAAAUCAAAUAACCAUCUCAAAUUCAUCAAGCAUAGCACAGACAGGAUGUCAAAAUAUAACUACUCUUGAUAUGAUUCAAGACAAAUUCGGAGUAGCAGAUAUUGUUCCAUUAAUAUUCAGAUCGACCAGGCAAAAGUAGCACCACGGGGACAUCCUCUUACAAACCAACCACGACUACACACGAACCAUCAACAGUCCAACGAUUUCCAUCAAGCGCUACUACUAAUACUACUAUAUAUAUCUAGAUAGGCAGGCAGAUCCACGGCGGGGAUCAACAGCGGUCACCAGGAGGGGGGGCGGGCGAACCUAGGAGGAGGUGAACUUGGUGACGGCCUUGGUGCCCUCGGAGACGGCGUGCUUGGCGAGCUCCCCGGGGAGGACGAGGCGGACCGAGGUCUGGAUCUCGCGGGAGGUGAUGGUGGGCUUCUUGUUGUAGCGCGCGAGCUUGGCGGCCUCCCCGGCGAGCUUCUCGAAGAUGUCGUUGAUGAAGGAGUUCAUGAUGGACAUGGCC
This 616-nucleotide long non-coding RNA is filed under the name Triticum aestivum (bread wheat). RNAcentral describes it as "long non-coding RNA (TAES_LNC006136)". The record is from RNAcentral. Lineage: Eukaryota; Viridiplantae; Streptophyta; Magnoliopsida; Poales; Poaceae.